Molecule: unclassified non-coding RNA, 219 nt
Filed under: uncultured fungus
Lineage: Eukaryota; Fungi
Description: sequence contains ITS2
Source: RNAcentral
AAUGCACCUUGCACUCUUUGGUAUUCCAAGGAGUAUGCCUGUUUGAGUGUCAUUAAAUUCUCAAACUACUUCUUGUUUUAGAGGCAGUUUGGAUUUGAGAGUUUGCUGGUUUUCUUCGAAUCAGCUCUCUUUAAAUGCAUUAGUAGUUUGGCUUUGUCCCACAUUCUCAAUUUUUGACAAUUUGACCUCAAAUCAGGUAGGACUACCUGCUGAACUUAA